GUGCAGCUCAGUAUCUCAUGCCGUGGCAGUCGAGACGUAUUCCUAAAACCCACCCGUGCGGCAAAUCCGACUCGUCAGCGCCUCACUUGGGCUGGCUUUCACGGUCUGCCUCUCCUCUGUCCACGUGCAGGCGCGGAGGUUUGCCUGAGGACUAAGCGCGCUGCGUUCCUCCUCGUGCCCGGGGCGAGGCCGAGGCUGACACCCAGUUCCUGGCGUCGAGCGCGGCUAGUUUUUCCUGCGGACCUUGGGGCAGGGUGGGUUGAGGCAGCCUGGAGGUGGCGACACCGCUGAUUUGGCCGCUGUGCUUAAUCAGCCCGGGCCACGUGGUGGGACUUGUCACAGGCUCCUGUCUGCCAUCCUCCGAUAAGGCCCUGCUGGUGGCCAGGGAUUUCCAAAUCGGCAGGAUGUAGUAGUCACUUUUUUAGUUUCGUGUUCUCGCUAAUUAGAAACUGCUUGUCACGCAAGCAAGCGUGAGCUCGCUCCAGCCUGGUGCCCCGAACGGAUGCGCCGAGGAGGAACCUCGAUUCCUCUGCGUCGCACCUGCGUCAUGGUGCCAUGACGGGCCGCCGUCCUCCGCAGGGAGCUCUGAAACCUGCGGAGACGGCGGAAUCCGUUUACACCUAAUGCUGCUUUUUCCCUUUUAUGGGGCGCGGGCCUGGCACAGCGGCGCUGCUUUGGGAGAGGGGACAUGGCAGCGUGGCCUCCUAGAGGGGAGAACGGUUCGGCUCUUCUGGAGCUCGGCUCGGCACGUCGGAUGGCAAGCGGUUGCUGGAAAGCUUUUCAGCAACGCGUGCCGUGUAAAGCCGAGCUUUGCAGUGAAACUGAGCCUUUCUCGGCCGUUGCCUCGCUGACGCUAUCUCUGGCUGCGGAGCCAGGCGCUAUCGCGCGGGAUGGGAGCACCCGAGCUAUAAACCGCUCCCGUUUCUCCAUUGAGUUCCGGCUUAUCUGUCUUUCUGCGUUUGGAACUGCCUCCUCCUUUUCCGUGACACCCUGCACGGCCGCAGCCGGGGCGCCGGGUGUGGGGCCGCAGCGGGGCGCCG
This 1040-nucleotide long non-coding RNA is filed under the name Apteryx rowi (Okarito brown kiwi). Its description in RNAcentral is "lncRNA (ENSARWG00000011822.1)". Lineage: Eukaryota; Metazoa; Chordata; Aves; Apterygiformes; Apterygidae. The record is from RNAcentral.